GGUUUUCUUCUCGGCCUGGGAUGCCUGCACCUCCACACUUCCAGCCCUGUCCUACGGCCAGGCUGGAUCGCUGUUGGUAUGGCAACGCUUCCCUGCACCAACCAAACCGUGAAAGAUGUUUCACUCUGCUAUGUUAAGUCAUAUUGACAUACUGCCAUGAAGUGGAAGCAACUGCUACUUUUAACAUUGCUCCAUAUCUUUAUUAAAAGAGUCAUCAAUCUCUUGAGAGUCAUCUUGCCAUCUGUACCAGCAUUGCUCCAGGCUUCCAUAUGAAAGUCCAAUCUGGCGGUAUAAAUACUGGAUAAUGAAGACACUGGCAGAGUCUUUACUCUGCACACCACUGCUGACCCCAGAAGUGACCCACAGGAACUACUGGCAAAAGGAGUGAAAAGAUGGAGAGGACGGAAGACUUCCAGAAGGUCUCAUGUACUGGGUGGUACAGCCCUUUUCUACCUGUCAGCCAAGCAUUUCAGCCCUAAUUCAAAUAAAACUCUUAGGCAUUCUGUUGGGAGAGGUAGAAUUUUUUGUUUUGGUUGGCAUCAGGUUGACUGCGCUUCUCUGGGCAAGGGGGUGACCACCCUGAGUCUCAUCACUGAAAAAGUGUGGCAAAACCUGAUCUUGCUGGAAGAGGCAGCUCAGAAAACAACAUUUGGGUCAGUACUGAUAUCCACACUGUUGAUUAUAUGACCAUAAUUUUGGUUCUAAUUCACUUUGUCAUUCCCAUCAUACAGAUUCCAGUCUCCUAAAUAUGUGGCACCAGUGGAAAUCUACAGUGAAGCAAAAUUAGUCUUAAUAUUGUAUUUCAUUCUUAGAUUGCCUUCUUAGCACUGACCUUCAGCCUCUUUAAUUAAAAGUUUGCAAACAUGCAUUCCUUAAGUAAUUUCUGACCUUCACAGCUGGUUAUGAGGCAGCUGUAGUUGAAAUUUUUGAGCAAAGUCUCUUUCCCUCUCUCAGGGGCCUCCACUUUUUCAGUUUUGGAAAUGACUUAUUAACUUUGCAGCCAUUGGGACAACUCUCCAAAGAAAUGAAGUUUCUUGAUGAACAUGCACAAUUUUUCUCUGCACAUCAAAGAGUUCAGAUUUUCACUCCACUUGUCAGAGACUACUGAUAAUUACUUUUAUUAACCAUCUCACAAAUAACAAAUGUGUGAGGUCAAAAAAAGUCUCAUUUGAACUUUAUGGUUUCAUGUGUGAAAAAAGAAAUGCUACUAAGAGUAACUACGAGUGUUGGGUAAGGAGCCAUAAUUUUCUCAGUAAAAGAGAGCCCAUUAAGAAGACAAAGAUAUUGGGGUGCUGCUCAAGUGCUCCUGAGAUUUUGUUCUGAUAAUUAUUUGCAGGUGUGUUUAAAACUACUUGUCUCUGUAUGCUGCUUUGAGGAAUAAAGGUGCUUUGCUACAUCUUUCA
Long non-coding RNA from Zonotrichia albicollis (white-throated sparrow), 1403 nucleotides. The record is from Ensembl. NCBI's taxonomy places the organism in Eukaryota, Metazoa, Chordata, Aves, Passeriformes, Passerellidae.